Juglans microcarpa x Juglans regia is the source of this 154-nucleotide long non-coding RNA. RefSeq lists it as uncharacterized. The transcript has 4 exons. The record is from RefSeq and is a predicted model, not a curated record. NCBI's taxonomy places the organism in Eukaryota, Viridiplantae, Streptophyta, Magnoliopsida, Fagales, Juglandaceae.
AUUAUAUGAUGCUUGAAAACUUGGAUUCAACACUUUAAAAUUAAGACUUUUGUAGAAACAAGAUUUUAUAACACACAUUGCUGCUAAUGCAUGUAACCUCCACCUGCCGCUCACAAAUCCACAUUCAAAUAAUUCAGUAUGAUUAGUGAGUAUA